UGCGUUUUAAAGAUAAAAUUUUAGCCCAAUUCUAAGGCUUUGAUAAAUCAGUUAUUCGUUCCCAAAAUAUAUGUAGAUACAUGUUCUACAUUUUUAUGGGAAAUACAACAUGAUUUUUAUCUGUCCUUUAGAUAUUUGUGCAUAUAAAUUAAAAUAUUAAAUUCAUUUUUUUUUUAUUCAAUAACAUACAUAAAAAAAAUACACAAACACACACAUCUCCUUUUCUAUUAUUAUUUUCUCCUUCUUUUCUUUUCUUUUUUCCUUUUUUACAUCCACAGUACAAAAUACAAUUUCUAAACAAACUAAACAAAAAUUACAAUAAAAUUACAAUAACACCCCCAAAACAAUCUGGAAAUUACAGGGAACACCUUCUGCAAGCCGGAACAGUGUUCAGCAGGAUUUCUGGGCGCAAGAACAGUGGCGGUGCGUCCUUCCACGCGCCACCAUUGCUGGCGGCGCGUGGACCCACGCGCAGCCGCAAGAAAUUCCAGGCAGCGGGGGCGUCUGGAGCAGCUUCCUCCCCUCUUCCUUUUCCUCGCCGGCGGCGACAACACCGUUACCUGCAAAACAAUCAAAACGCAACACAGGCAGUUGAUUUUAGUUUUCAUUUCCUUUGUUUUUUUCAAAUCUUCUUCGGUUUCUUCCCUUUUUUUAAAUCUGUCCCGUUUCUCUGCCUCCUCUGCAGAUCGGUCAUCUUCUUCUUCUUUCGGUGGCAGAUCCGCCGUGGAGGACCCAGCGUCGUGGGUGAGGAGGCGGCGUCGCUGUUAUGGGAAAGAGACGUCGCUGCAAGGCUGGCGGAGUUUGCUGCUGGAGACCGGUCUGCGGGUUAGGAGAUCGCCUUCUUCUCCUCUGUUUCGGGUGGCAGAUCGGGUCUGUGAGAGAGGAGCUGCUGCUGGGUCGUUGAUGACGGGUGGAAGAGAUGACUGGUCUUGGCUGGUCUGCGGCCGUUGCUGUUGAAGGAAACGAAGGUGAAGAAGAUGCUGCUACUGCUGGGGGAGGAGCUGCGGAAGAAGGGAGCCGCUGUGGAGGCUGUUGUCUGCUGGAGGAAGACGGUGCUGCUUCACGGGGAGGGGCCGUCGCUGCUGGAAGAAGAAGAAAACCAGAGGGCAAAGGGGAGUGGCCGGUCUCUGUUUGUGUUGCCAGAGAGGGAAGGUCCGGAGCUGGAGGGGAAAAGCUGGGACGGUGAUGAGAGGAAAUGGGGGAAAUGUUGAGCCGGCUGGAGAGGGAAAGACGAAGUGGCUGAGAAGGGGAGGCUUGUGUGCCGUCCAAAGAGCCAAGCUCUAGGAUGGCGAGAAGAAGGAAAAAAUCUGAUGAAGGAUGGGGGGUGGCGGCUCCGGUUGAGGGAGAAGAAAAAAUGAUAAGCUUUUAGGGUUUCUCUUUUUGUUGCCCCUUUUAAUUGCCAAAUUGCCCCCCC
This 1414-nucleotide long non-coding RNA is filed under the name Populus trichocarpa (black cottonwood). Its description in RNAcentral is "long non-coding RNA (PTRI_LNC004399)". The record is from RNAcentral. Lineage: Eukaryota; Viridiplantae; Streptophyta; Magnoliopsida; Malpighiales; Salicaceae.